Molecule: ribosomal RNA, 375 nt
Filed under: uncultured organism
Description: partial 16S ribosomal RNA
Rfam family: Bacterial small subunit ribosomal RNA
Source: RNAcentral
AGAGGGGUGCAAGCGUUAAUCGGAAUUACUGGGCGUAAAGGGCGCGUAGGGUGGUUAGUUAAGUCAGAUGUGAAAUCCCCGGGGCUCAACCUGGGAACUGCAUCUGAAACUGGUUGACUAGAGUACAGUAGAGGGAAGUGGAAUUUCCGGUGUAGCGGUGAAAUGCGUAGAUAUCGGAAGGAACACCAGUGGCGAAGGCGACUUCCUGGACUGAUACUGACACUGAGGCGCGAAAGCGUGGGGAGCAAACAGGAUUAGAUACCCUGGUAGUCCACGCCGUAAACGAUGAGAACUAGCUGUUGGGAGGAGUUUUCCCUCUUAGUGGCGAAGCUAACGCAAUAAGUUCUCCGCCUGGGGAGUACGGCCGCAAGGUUA